RNAcentral lists this ribosomal RNA (103 nucleotides) under uncultured bacterium. RNAcentral's name for it is "partial 16S ribosomal RNA". It matches the Rfam family "Bacterial small subunit ribosomal RNA", at positions 1384 to 1482 of the family's 1533-position model. The record is from RNAcentral.
UACACACCGCCCGUCACACCAUGGGAGUUGGUUUUACCCGAAGCCGGUGGGCUAACCUCGCAAGAGGAGGCAGCCGACCACGGUCAGGUCAGCGACUGGGGUG